UUUUCUUUUUAUAUGGAGUGGUUCCAUUUUUCUUAAAAUCAUGGGUAAGAGGGACUUUCUUGCAUUUCUUGAUUUGCCUUCUCUUUUCACCACAUCCCUAACUUAGGCUUUUGACUUAAGUUGACUAUUCAAACUAACCAAAACUUCAUGAGGAUUAUGGGUGAUGGGUUAAGAAAGGUCUAGUUUUCAUCAAGUUUCUUCCAAAGAAAGGUAAGGCUCAAAGGGUGUUCAAAAGAGUUUCACACGCUCACGAGUAGGUCACAAAAGAGGUAUAUGUCAAAUUGGCUCCCACUCUUUAAAGUUGCCUA
This 308-nucleotide long non-coding RNA is filed under the name Solanum tuberosum (potato). RNAcentral describes it as "long non-coding RNA (STUB_LNC007984)". Lineage: Eukaryota; Viridiplantae; Streptophyta; Magnoliopsida; Solanales; Solanaceae. The record is from RNAcentral.